Molecule: long non-coding RNA, 4171 nt
Organism: Trichechus manatus latirostris (Florida manatee)
Lineage: Eukaryota; Metazoa; Chordata; Mammalia; Sirenia; Trichechidae
Exons: 3
Source: RefSeq, a predicted model, not a curated record
AGACUGGUGCAUCUUUCUCCCACAGAGUGGCUGGUGGGUUGAACUGCCAACCUUUUGGUUAGCAGCCAAGCGCUUUAACCACUGCACCACCAGGGCUCUUUAUACAUACUCCAAAAGAUUCAAAUUACAGACCUUUUCAGUUAUAAUCUAUUGUCAGUAAAAAAGGCCAUGUACUUGUAAAUCUCUCCUACUGCCAGAAAUAAUUUGGGUCAGAGGGGAGUUAACAAGAAUGACUACUGACUUACAGCAAUGUUCAUUGCAGCACUAUUCACAAUAACCAAAAGAUGGAAACAACUAAAUGCCCAUCAACAGAUGAAUGGAUAAACAAAAUGUGGUACAUACACACAAUGGAACACUAGUCAGCCGGUGCCCUCCCUAAUUGAAGAAAACGAGUAUUCGGAUUGUCUGCAACCCUUAGAGAGCCAAGGUGUGAUGCUUUGAAGAUCAAACCACAACUUGUAAGAAAUACUGGAAGGAAAUCUAGGCUUAAUUAAGACAAAUUUACCAUAAACCAUGAGGGGGUCUCUGGCUCUUAACUCAGCAAAUCAGGUGAGAAAUCUUAGGAGGGGAAGGUUGCAUAGCCAAAAUUCUAUCAGGGAUUGUUUUUGCCCUAGGUAAGAUUGACUUUACCACUAUGGGAAUGGUUGUGAAUUAAUACCAUAGUACUGUUGUUAAACCAAAUAAAAAUACUCCUCUUCCAAACCUUUUUCUGAUUAGCAUCCAAGCCUUAGCCCAUGUUAUUUACCUUUAGAAAGUCCUUCCUUGUCCAAAUCUUCCAACUAAGUCUUCCUUAUGCAUGAAAUUUUCCUAGAUCACUUUUUCUCCUUGACCAAAAAUAUCAUUUCUCUUUUGUGCUCCCAUACCUGAAUUACAACAAUUAAUGCAUCCUGCCUUGUUGGCAGGGACUGUCUUAAUCUAGCAGAGUGUCUUGAACAUAGUGGGAGCACAGCCUAAGUGGUAAUUGCUGAAAAUCAGCAGUAAUAGCUUUAUGAUAAAAUAACAUGCUCUGGAAAAGCCGAAUACCAGCUAGGUAAGUACAGAAAUGCCCAGGCUCUUUCCUGUUAAUUUAGGAAUUCUCCACCUUUUAGUAUUUCACUUAUGAGGGCUCCUAUCUUAUUACCAAAACCAAACCAAACCCAUAUUGCCAUCGAGUCGAUUGCAUCUCAUAGAGACCCUAUAAGGACAGAAUAGAACUGUCCCAUAGGGUUUCCAAGGAGCAGAUGGUGGAUUCAAACUUCUGACCUUUUGGUUAGCAGGAGAGCUCUUAACGACUGUGCCACCAGGGCUCCCGUAUCAUACUACCUUAUAUGCCUCAAGUCUUAACUGUCUUAAACCGUUCUUUUUUCUUUUCCUAAACCAAAGCCAUAAACCUGUGGGUAGGUGUAUGAAUUGUCAGAAGGCCUAUGAAAUUUUCAUACCUAUUUUUGAGGUCCAUGCGUCAUCUAAUUUUUUUUUCCCAACCAGAGUUGAAAAGUGUUCAAUAGAUAAUCUAUAUCUUUAAAAAUAGCACUGUUUUUACAUGACUUUGAAAAGUGGGUCUGACCCUGUGCUAAUCUGUUUCCAAAAGCUUAUGUUCAUAUAUUGACUUUGUCUUUUAUCCAGGAAGACACUAUGUUAGGACAACGUGUACUGACCCUUGUGUUCUUUUGUCUUUUUCUUAAUUCUGAUGAUCUCUAAGCUUUCCAAUGAAGUGAAACACUAUGAGGCAUGUAACUUAACUGUUUUCUGUUGGCCUUUAUUUGUAUGUCUCUGAGGAGAUAGGAGAUGGUAAUAGAAUGGAAGUCCUUACAUUAAAAAAUGCUUUCCAAGAAACACCAUUACGAUAAUUGCAAAAACAAAUGUACUGAGCUGCUGUAAACUUUGAAAGUGACUCUUUAAAGUUAAUGGAAUGCUUCUGAAGCCCUCUGCUUGCUGGAGCCACAUUAUUGAGUAAAGUAGGCUUUCUUAUAUACUUUCUUGGACAAUUUUAUGAGAGACAUCCAAGUCACUUCAAAAAAGCUUUCAGAAAUCUAAGAAGGCAAAGAAAAUUGUGGAUCAAAUGUAUGGCAUUUUUUCACUGCUAGGACAUUUGUUUUAAGUCAUAUUUAUAGUGUAAAAAAAUAUUUUUACGUACUUUUAGAGCUUUUAUAUAAAAUGUAUAGGACAUUUAUACAUAUAUAUAUGUUUUCAAGAACCUGAUGCAUAACUUAUUUUUUCUAAAGUCUAUUGUUGCUGUUGGGUUUUGGUUUGGCUUUGAGAGUGGUUGUAUAUUUGUUACACUUAACAUUUAGCCAAAAUCGGGAAUUAAACCAGUAAUUAAAAAUGGUUCCUAUGGUGAAGCAGUUUCCCCUCUAUAUUGAUUUGCCCUAUGACCAGGUUUCCAGGCAUGAAUUUUGACACCACUACCGCCCCCCUAAAAAAGGCGAAAGCUGACUAUACUACGGGGUACCUAGAACACGUGAAGAAGGGACUGAGACUGGAAGCAGACGAAAGACAUUUUCUGUACAGAGCAGAGUACCUGACAACAGCUCACUCUAGUAGAGGGCAAUAAAAGCCACAUGAGAAGAUUCCUUCAGCACAAAACUUCCAGUUACGUCUAACCUACAUGCAUGGUCUGCUGGCUCCUACUAUUUUUUCAUAACUUCUAAAUUAUGGAGGUAAGUCAAGAUUUAAUAUUGAUUAUAGUUAAACGACAUUAAUUCUGAACUUGUAUUAACAUUUCUUUAAUUACCAAGCACUGGUAUAGCAUUACAUUAGCAAAUUAUGUAUAUCCCAGCUUUGGUUGGGUUACUUUACUCUGAUUAAAUGUAUAAUUUUCUGUAACUUUUAACUAGUUAGUAUUUCUAUAUACAUCUAUAUUUUUAUAUAAUUCUUUGUGGAAUUAUCCAUGUAAACUUCUAAUAGAAAAUGCCAUGUUUGUUUUUUCUGUAGUCUUUAACUUGAAUCAACUUUUUUAGAUUGUAUUAUAUAAAGUAUUCUAGUCCAUCUUUGAAUCUACUAUAAUUCUUGUUUUUACAUGUGCCUGUUUACUGGGCUUUCCAAAUUUUUCAGUUCGGUUUAGUUGAGUCUAUUGGAUGCCCAACACUGUGGGGGGGAUAUAAAGACCAGUAUAAAGCAAAUACCAGUCCUCUCUUAAAAGAACUCAUGGAACCUCAGACACUGCAACCAGACUUUUUUGGGUUCUCUUAUUAAAGGAAGGAUGAGACAGACCUCUUCUGUUUGGCUUCCAAAUUGGGAACCCAAAGAAAUUGAAAUUACCAGAAGUGUUGUGAAAUGUUGAGAGUAACAUGAAAUAGAAACACGUGGUAUUUGGUGUGUUUUAUAGCUUAUUGGUAAAAAGCCACUUGUUUUAAUGAUUUCUGGAUUUGAGUGUUGGUAUGAAAUUUGAAGGUGAAGAAGGUCCUAUAUGAUUAGACAAGUCUUAGGCAUAGAUAACAUUUCAGUUUUGGGAGCAAAAUCCUAUCUUAUUUUGCUGCGUGUUUAGUUGUUUUUUAAUUUUUUUAUCUUAUGCCAUGCUUAAUACUCAUUUCCCAUUCACUCAUGUAAGGUAUUUGCUUUUAUCCGUUAAAAGAUUUUUUGUGGGUGAAUCUAUUUUGUUGUUCAUAUAAAUACUAAUGCAUUUUCUAAGCUUAAAAAUUAUGAGACGAUGACUUUUGUGAUGAAAUUUAUACUUAACUUUUAUAGUACCUUUAAGUCUGAUAAACUUUAAUGUGCCGUUGUAGUGAUUCUUCUGUAUAUGAGAUGAAUUAAUAGGUGUAUAUGAUGAUAGAACAAGGUUUCAUUAGGGUUGGCUAGGGACAAGCUUCUGCCAUUAUUCUAAUUUAAAAUAAAAUUCAAUUCAGUCAAGAAGUGGUGCUAUAUGGAAAUGUUGAAGUUUGGGGUUUUUUGUUUGUUUUUCCUUAAAAGCAGGCAAGAGUUUUUAAUUUGCCCGUGGUACAUCUAAAUCUGCCUAUUUUCUUCAAACUAAAUUUUCCUGCCUCCCUUACUAAAACAGGACUCAACUUUAUUUGUAUGUCUUGGCAUCCCAGUUACAGUGUCCACUCCAUUUUGGAAUGAACACAAGAGCUUACUGAGAUGAUAUUGACAGAUGCAUCUCUAGAUGACAUAAUCUCUGAAGUAUUUACUGAAAUAAGAAACUCAACAACCUCCGAAAGCAUACUUUCCCUAAUGAAUAAUAUGUAUUUUCUAAAUU